This is a small nuclear RNA of Callithrix jacchus (white-tufted-ear marmoset), 63 nucleotides long. Its record names the gene U7. It matches the Rfam family "U7 small nuclear RNA". Rfam says of the family: Animal histone pre-mRNAs are spliced by a different mechanism than nuclear pre-mRNAs and self-splicing introns. The record is from Ensembl. NCBI's taxonomy places the organism in Eukaryota, Metazoa, Chordata, Mammalia, Primates, Cebidae.
CAGUGUUAUAUCUCUUUUAGAAUUUGUCUAGCAGGUUUUCUGAUCGUUAACCAGAAAACUCCU